AAUGGUGAAACCGCGAAUGGCUCAUUAAAUCAGUUAUGGUUCCUUAGAGCUCCUGAUCCUACAUGGAUAACUGUAGUAAUUCUAGAGCUAAUACAUGCAACUAAGCUCCGACCUUCGGGGACGAGCGCACUUAUUAGACCAUGAUCAACCGGGGGCAACCCCGAACGACUGGUGACUCUGGAUAAACUACCGCGGAUCGCAUGGCCUCGAGCUGGCGAUUCAUCUUACAACUGUCUGACCUAUCAACUAGAAGGUAGAGUAUAUGUCUACCUUGGUGAUGACGGGUAACGGGGAAUCAGGGUUCGAUUCCGGAGAGGGAGCAUGAGAAACGGCUACCACAUCCAAGGAAGGCAGCAGGCACGCAAAUUACCCACUCCUGGCAAGGGGAGGUAGUGACGAAAAAUAACAAUACGGGACUCUUUCGAGGCCCCGUAAUUGGAAUGAGUACGAUGUAAAAUCCCUAACGAGGAACUAAUGGAGGGCAAGUCUGGUGCCAGCAGCCGCGGUAAUUCCAGCUCCAUUAGCGUAUAUUAAAGCUGUUGCAGUUAAAAAGCUCGUAGUUGGAUCUGGGGAGCAGGCUGGCGGGACCGCUUCACUGCGGAACUGCCUGUCCUGCCCUUUGCGCCGGGCUUCACAACAUGCGGGUUGCUCUUCAAUGAGUGUCUCCGCGUGGCCCGGUACUCUUACUUUGAAAAAAUUAGAGUGCUCUAAGCAGGCGGACACGCCUGAAUAAUGUUGCAUGGAAUAAUGGAACAGGACCUCGGUUCUGUGAAGUUGGUCGUCAGAACUGAAGUAAUGAUCAAUAGGGGCUGACGGGGGCAUCCGUAUUACGGGGCGAGAGGUGAAAUUCUAUGACCCUCGUAAGACGCCCAAAAGCGAAAGCAUUUGCCAAGAAUGCCUUCAUUAAUCAAGAACGAAAGUCAGAGGAUCGAAGACGAUCAGAUACCGUCGUAGUUCUGACCGUAAACGCUGGCGUCUGGUGAUUGUCAGGCGUGGGUCUAACGACCCUGACAGCAACCCCUCGGGAAACCAAAGAUUUUGGCUUCCGGGGGGAGUAUGGUUGCAAAGCUGAAACUUAAAGGAAUUGACGGAAGGGCACCACCAGGAGUGGAGCCUGCGGCUUAAUUUGACUCAACACGGGAAACCUCACCCGGCCCAGACACUGUAAGGAUGAC
RNAcentral lists this ribosomal RNA (1175 nucleotides) under Laonice sp. NHM_1662. RNAcentral describes it as "SSU rRNA". It matches the Rfam family "Eukaryotic small subunit ribosomal RNA", at positions 77 to 1244 of the family's 1831-position model. The record is from RNAcentral. Lineage: Eukaryota; Metazoa; Annelida; Polychaeta; Spionida; Spionidae.